CUAGCUCUUGAAUUAUUAAUCAUUUGUCUAAUGCUGAGCUGGCUCUGUUAAUGAGCACAGAUUUUUCUGAUGCUAAUGCCCAGAUCAAAGCCUUACAGCACCGUUAAUGAUCUAGCAAUGUGUCCAUUCUCUGUAACCCUCACGCUACUGGCCGGAGCGGUACGCUGCCACCUCUCGGUGCUCACGUCAAGCUCCCUUGCUUGAGAGAAAGCCCAGAUGGGUACGUCGUCAAUUAUACAUGGGCCAGUGGUUAAUAACUUAAUGGCUAGAUCAAUACCUCCAUGCAGUAUUAAUCUUGUCCGUGAUUAUGACUAACGAUGAAAACGACUCUUGAUACAUCGUUAAUUGAGUCUGAUGCCUGCAUCAACACGUUCGUUAUCUAAUCAGUCAUAAUUAUUUAUCAUUAAUGUAUUGAUCUAGAUAGUAGAAUAAUCGUUAUAUAUAAAUAUUUAUUCCCAUGCUGAGAGCAAUAUAUUUAUUAUCUGCAAUGAGCAACCUCGUGGCACCUUAGAGACUAACAAAUUUAGAUUGGAUCGUGAGCUCAUGAUGUAUUAGUCUCUAACGUGCCCCAGGGCGACUGGUUGUUUUUAAAGUUACAGACUAACUUGGCUCCCCCUCUGAGAUUAAUAAUCAAGCUUAGUGACUAGAUAAUUAAUCAUGAUUAAUAUUGAUCUCGGCAUUAGAAUAAUUAUUGCUUAUCUCAUGGAUUAGUCAUCUGAGUAAUAGAUAUUAAUGGAUAGCUCUAAUAAUUAGAAUAAUAGUUCAUUAAAAUACUGCAUAUGUGGUCACUCAAUACAUUAUAUAUAUCAGAGUAAUAAUUCUUAAUGUAUGCUCUAAUUAUUGCAGCACUAAUUAGUGUGAUGUAUUUAGUUAUUCGUCAUAAUUAUGAAUAAAUACAUCACAUUAAUUUAAUGACUGGGGGAGCUAAUUGCUAGAUAUAUGGUGCUGAUGACUAUUAAUAGAUAAUUAAUACACUAUUAAUCACCCCUAGAUCAAUACAUUAUUAAUCUAAUGACUGGAUCAAUACUCAAUAGAUUGCAACUCUCUCCGCGGUAGGGAAACGUCAGCAACGCAUCUCAGGAAGUCCACGAUGUGGGUCGGGGUCCCGAGGGGUUUAGGGACCUCGUUGCCACAUUAGGUGCCAAAAUCCCAGCGCCAGACUGGACUGCGAUUGGCGAACCGUGAACCGUGCAGCUGUCCCCCUUCAGCAUCCGGAUGCGGAAAUCCCAGAGCGAAGCGAUCAGGUGGCGACGGCUGACUUCACAUAGCGCGGCCCCCCCCCUUAGAGGGACCCUCAGUUCAAUCCCUCUCCUCUCCCACCUGAAAAGAAGGGCUUCGAAGAGGGAAUCUCAGGACAGGUUGAACCUUCGGGACACGACCGGUGCCGAACCAGAGAAUUUGCUGAUAUUGUCCAGCAGCAUCACCUACACUGCCGCUGGGCUCUGAGAAGACAUUUCGGGGGGCUGCAUUCCCGGGCGCAUGACUCCAGCCACAACAGGUUCGGCAUUUUAGAACUCGCUACUCAAAGAAUUAAAAUGAAGAGUAAGAGCGAAAUGAAAGUGAUGAAAUGCACAGACCCGUCAAAAACUAAAACCACCCCACUUUGCAACACUUGCUCGGCAGAGCCAACCUGUGGAACUCCUUGCUGCAGGAUACUGUGAAGGCCAAGAGAGUUCAAAAAAAGAGCUAGAUACAUUCAUGGAGGCAUGAAAUCCCCGUUGCCAGUCUAACCUGGCGUGAGUGGCCGAGACCCAGGGAGGGAGCACGAUGAGACCCAUAAUCCUUUGCAGCUUCCUCUUGGCGUCUGUCCAGGCAUCGGAACCGGAGGGGCACUUUGAUCUAGGUAUCUCAGGGCGAGACCAGCCAUGUGGGGGCAUCCGGGCUUA
Molecule: non-coding RNA, 1886 nt
Organism: Pelodiscus sinensis (Chinese soft-shelled turtle)
Lineage: Eukaryota; Metazoa; Chordata; Testudines; Trionychidae
Source: RefSeq, a predicted model, not a curated record